GACGAACGCUGGCGGCGGGCUUAACACAUGCAAGUCGAGCGGAAGGAUCCGGCUUUCUUGCAGUGCUCGAUUGGCGCACGGGUGCGGGACACGAGAGUAACCCGCCCUUGCCUUUGGGAUAACUUUAGGCAACUGGGGCUAAUACCGGUUAGGAGCUCCUGCUGUAUGGUGGGUGCGGGUAAGUUUCGGCGGUUGGGGAUGGACUCGCGGCGUAUCAGCUUGUUGGUGGGGUAGUGGCUUACCAAGGCUUUGUCGGGUAGCCGGCCUGAGAGGGUGACCGGCCACAUUGGGACUGAGAUACGGCCCAGACUACUACGGGAGGCAGCAGUGGGGAAUAAUGCACAAUGGGCGGAAGCCUGAUGCAGCAACGCCGCGUGCGGGAUGACGACCUGCGGGUUGUAAACCGCUUUGGGCUGUGAGGAAGCGUGAGUGACGGUAAUGGAUAAAGAAGCACCGGCUAACUACGUG
This 468-nucleotide ribosomal RNA is filed under the name uncultured bacterium. Its description in RNAcentral is "partial 16S ribosomal RNA". It matches the Rfam family "Bacterial small subunit ribosomal RNA", at positions 28 to 507 of the family's 1533-position model. The record is from RNAcentral.